UAGAUUCUCUGCGAUAAACAAGAAAAUUUUUCAGCAUCCAGUCUGACAUGUACGUACUAGUACACUGUUAUUAAAUUGUGUUUGUGAGUACGUGUGUAUGAAUGAAUUACACAUUGGGUGGUGUUGAUUUGGGAGGAUGAAUGGCCUUUGUAGCCAGCCCUCUAGGUCUUUAUUCCAGCACCAGGCUAUGUCCCUUUAAUGACUACCUUAGGGUGCCGUUGUGCAUGUGUGACUACUUUUCUACAGAUAUAGAGGUCUGGAGGGCCAAAGGAAUGCAUGUGAGGGGUUGAGUCCCUUGAUCUCUGAAGUAAUGGGCAGGUGGGAUACCAGGCAAGAAAAAACAUGGUAUUGGCACCAAUGUUUAGAUAUUCAAUCUCUUUUGCAUUAUUUUGGCCUAGAGUCAGUUCUCAAGAAGCUGGGAUGUCAGAAGAGAUUCCAGUCUUAGAAGUAUGCUGUUAAAUGCAAGAUUGGUCGUUAAAAUGUCAACUCUUCAUGAUUUAAUUAAGGAGGAGGGCUCUUCUUUUGUGUAUAUUACUGAAAUUUCAUUAUAGUUGGACUGAUUUGGGAACAGUUGGUACUGGGCUGGUAUUUAGUAUAGCAUGAACAAAAGGGGGAUUGAUAGAGAAGGAACAUAAUUCUUUUUGCAUCCACUUUGAAAAAUUGAAGGUUUCCUACCCCAGAACUGAACUGAACAAAGGAUAUUCAUCUUUAAUUGUUGAUGCAAGUCCAGGCUGGAGUUAAGUUGUAACUUCCCUCUUGUAUUUCAAAAUCCCUGUGUGAGCUAAUAAAAUUCUUCACUAUAGCAAUCUUGGAAGAAGCAAGGCUGAUAGUGCUCAUUGACUGAAAAAAUCCAUGAAGAAUUCUUAGAAAUCAUCUCAGGUUUUCAUGGCACUGACCACCAUUGGCCCAUUAAAGACGGUUACAGGCUCCAUUCACAUAGUUGAUCACACUUUUUAUAUAAUAUUUGGGCCAAAACUGGAGGUUAGAAAGUUGGAAAUUAGGCCCUCCUCAUGAACCAUUAUUUCCUACAUUUUGAGAUUGGGGCACCCCAUCCUGUCAGAACAAGGGAUAUGAUUUGAUUGUCUUCAAAAUGUAAUGAAUCCACAGUACUACCAAAAGAUCAUGAGAGAUUAUAUAGGUCCUCUUCCAGAUCAACCUAUCAAGCAUUUGGUCUCUAGGAUUUCCAUGGCAAGACUUUAAAAAUCAGCUGAGUACAAGAAGGAUGUGCCUGCCUAGCUGCCUCUAUUCGGAACCAUUGCUGUAUUGCAGAAGAUAUAGAGUCAGGAGCUGAUCUCAAGAACUUGACCGCCAGUGGGGUUGGAGCUGCCAAUAACCAACAGAACAAAAUUUCCGGGGGGAGUGGAGAAGAAAAAAAGGCAGCAAGGAGUCCAGAAGUUUACUGCUACUUACAGUAAGUGUUGACAUGUACUUGCUAAGAAGCUGGUCUACCGCAUUUUGUGAAAUUAAAGGAUUUAGAGAAUUUACAUCCACUUCUGGGGCCAGUUCAGAAUUCCCCAUCAUCUCUGUACUGAAUUGAAAAAAAUAAAACAAAGCCAUAAAUUGCAAAUGAAGAAAGAAAAGAAGUUACAGAAAUUUGAAACCGUUCUGAAACGACUUCAACAGGUGAUCUUCCAUUAUUUACAAGUCUCUGAAAA
This is a long non-coding RNA of Dermochelys coriacea (leatherback sea turtle), 1655 nucleotides long. RefSeq lists it as uncharacterized. The record is from RefSeq and is a predicted model, not a curated record. The transcript has 3 exons. Lineage: Eukaryota; Metazoa; Chordata; Testudines; Dermochelyidae.